GAUGAACGCUGGCGGCGUGCCUAAUACAUGCCAGUCGAGCGAACAGACGAGGAGCUUGCUCCUCUGACGUUAGCGGCGGACGGGUGAGUAACACGUGGAUAACCUACCUAUAAGACUGGGAUAACUUCGGGAAACCGGAGCUAAUACCGGAUAACAUGUUGAACCGCAUGGUUCAACAGUGAAAGACGGUCUUGCUGUCACUUAUAGAUGGAUCCGCGCCGCAUUAGCUAGUUGGUAAGGUAACGGCUUACCAAGGCAACGAUGCGUAGCCGACCUGAGAGGGUGAUCGGCCACACUGGAACUGAGACACGGUCCAGACUCCUACGGGAGGUAGCAGUAGGGAAUCUUCCGCAAUGGGCGAAAGCCUGACGGAGCAACGCCGCGUGAGUGAAGAAGGUCUUCGGAUCGUAAAACUCUGUUAUUAGGGAAGAACAAAUGUGUAAGUAACUAUGCACGUCUUGACGGUACCUAAUCAGAAAGCCACGGCUAACUACGUG
Molecule: ribosomal RNA, 497 nt
Filed under: uncultured bacterium
Lineage: Bacteria
Description: partial 16S ribosomal RNA
Rfam family: Bacterial small subunit ribosomal RNA
Source: RNAcentral